CGACAAGCGGAGGAGCAUGUGGUUUAAUUCGGUGAUACGCGAGGAACCUUACCUGGGCUCGAACGUAAGAUGACUGUAGGUGAAAGCUUACAUCUCUUCGGAGCAUUUUACGAGGUGCUGCAUGGUUGUCGUCAGCUCGUGCCGUGAGGUGUCGGGUUAAGUCCCAUAACGAGCGCAACCCUACCUUUAGUUGCCAUCAGGUCAAGCUGGGGACUCUAAUGAAACUGCCUACGCAAGUAGUGAGGAAGGUGGGGAUGACGUCAAAUCAGCACGGCCCUUACGUCCAGGGCUACACACGUGCUACAAUGGCCGGUACAAAGGGCAGCUACCUGGUGACAGGAUGCUAAUCUCAAAAGCCGGUCUCAGUUCGGAUCGGAGUCUGCAACCCGACUCCGUGAAGCUGGAAUCGCUAGUAAUCGCGCAUCAGCCAUGGCGCGGUGAAUACGUUCCCGGGCCUU
This 458-nucleotide ribosomal RNA is filed under the name uncultured Sphingobacteriales bacterium. RNAcentral's name for it is "bacterial SSU rRNA". It matches the Rfam family "Bacterial small subunit ribosomal RNA", at positions 922 to 1382 of the family's 1533-position model. The record is from RNAcentral. Lineage: Bacteria; Pseudomonadati; Bacteroidota; Sphingobacteriia; Sphingobacteriales.